RNAcentral lists this ribosomal RNA (484 nucleotides) under uncultured bacterium. RNAcentral describes it as "partial 16S ribosomal RNA". It matches the Rfam family "Bacterial small subunit ribosomal RNA", at positions 28 to 507 of the family's 1533-position model. The record is from RNAcentral.
AUUGAACGCUGGCGGCAUGCUUUACACAUGCAAGUCGAACGGCAGCGCGGGCUUCGGCCUGGCGGCGAGUGGCGAACGGGUGAGUAAUGCAUCGGAACGUGCCCAGUAGGGGGGGAUAGCCCGGCGAAAGCCGGAGUAAUACCGCAUACGACCAGAGGGUGAAAGCGGGGGACCGAAAGGCCGCGCGCGAUUGGAGGGGCCGAUGUCGGAUUAGCUAGUUGGUGGGGUAAAGGCUUACCAAGGCGACGAUCCGUAGCUGGUCUGAGAGGACGACCAGCCACACUGGGACUGAGACACGGCCCAGACUCCUACGGGAGGCAGCAGUGGGGAAUUUUGGACAGUGGGGGCAACCCUGAUCCAGCCAUGCCGCGUGCGGGAAGAAGGCCUUCGGGUUGUAAACCGCUUUUGUUCGGGAAGAACUCCUCUGGGCUAAUACCCCGGGGGGAUGACGGUACCGGAAGAAUAAGCACCGGCUAACUACGUG